CCUACGGGAGGCAGCAGUGAGGAAUAUUGGUCAAUGGGCGGGAGCCUGAACCAGCCAAGCCGCGUGAAGGACGAAGGUGCCAAGCAUUGUAAACUUCUUUUGUCAAGGGACAAAAUCAGGCUCGAGAGCCUGACCGAGGGUACUUGAAGAAAAAGCAUCGGCUAACUCCGUGCCAGCAGCCGCGGUAAUACGGAGGAUGCGAGCGUUAUCCGGAUUUAUUGGGUUUAAAGGGUGCGUAGGCGGGCUGUUAAGUCAGCGGUAAAAGCCCGGGGCUCAACCCCGGCGAGCCGUUGAACCUGGCUGUCUUGAGAUGUCGAGAGGUAUGCGGAAUGCGCAGUGUAGCGGUGAAAUGCUUAGAUAUUGCGCAGAACUCCGAUUGCGAAGGCAGCAUACCGGCGGCGAUCUGACGCUGAGGCACGAAAGCGUGGGUAUCGAACAGGAUUAGAUACCCGUGUAGUC
This 459-nucleotide ribosomal RNA is filed under the name uncultured bacterium. Its description in RNAcentral is "partial 16S ribosomal RNA". It matches the Rfam family "Bacterial small subunit ribosomal RNA", at positions 338 to 795 of the family's 1533-position model. The record is from RNAcentral.